UACGUAGGGUGCAAGCGUUGUCCGGAAUUAUUGGGCGUAAAGAGCUCGUAGGUGGUCUGUUGCGUCCGCUGUGAAAACCUAAGGCUUAACCUUGGGCCUGCAGUGGAUACGGGCAGACUAGAGGUAGGUAGGGGAGAAUGGAAUUCCCGGUGUAGCGGUGAAAUGCGCAGAUAUCGGGAGGAACACCGGUGGCGAAGGCGGUUCUCUGGGCCUUACCUGACACUGAGGAGCGAAAGCGUGGGGAGCGAACAGG
This 253-nucleotide ribosomal RNA is filed under the name uncultured bacterium. RNAcentral's name for it is "partial 16S ribosomal RNA". It matches the Rfam family "Bacterial small subunit ribosomal RNA", at positions 524 to 776 of the family's 1533-position model. The record is from RNAcentral.